RNAcentral lists this ribosomal RNA (377 nucleotides) under uncultured bacterium. RNAcentral describes it as "partial 16S ribosomal RNA". It matches the Rfam family "Bacterial small subunit ribosomal RNA", at positions 338 to 732 of the family's 1533-position model. The record is from RNAcentral.
CCUACGGGAGGCAGCAGUGGGGAAUAUUGCACAAUGGGGGAAACCCUGAUGCAGCGACGCCGCGUGAGUGAAGAAGUAUUUCGUUAUGUAAAGCUCUAUCAGCAGGGAAGAAAAUGACGGUACCUGAGUAAGAAGCCCCGGCUAACUACGUGCCAGCAGCCGCGGUAAUACGUAGGGGGCAAGCGUUAUCCGGAUUUACUGGGUGUAAAGGGAGCGUAGACGGCAGGGCAAGUCUGGAGGGAAAGGCGGGGGCUCAACCCCCGGACUGCGUUGGAAACGGGAAGGCGGGUGGGCAGGAGAGGGAAGGGGAAUUCAGAGUGUAGGGGGGAAAUGCGUAGAUAGUAGGAGGACAACCAGGGGCGAAGGCGGUUUAUGGG